GGGUUGUGAGGUUAAGCGACUAAGCGUACACGGUGGAUGCCCUGGCAGUCAGAGGCGAUGAAGGGCGUGCUAAUCUGCGAUAAGCGCCGGUAAGGUGAUAUGAACCGUUAUAACCGGCGAUACCCGAAUGGGGAAACCCAGUGUGACUCGUCACACUAUCAUUAACUGAAUCCAUAGGUUAAUGAGGCGAACCGGGGGAACUGAAACAUCUAAGUACCCCGAGGAAAAGAAAUCAACCGAGAUUCCCCCAGUAGCGGCGAGCGAACGGGGAGGAGCCCAGAGCCUGAAUCAGCAUGUGUGUUAGUGGAAGCGUCUGGAAAGGCGCGCGAUACAGGGUGACAGCCCCGUACACAAAAGCGCAUGUGCUGUGAGCUCGAUGAGUAGGGCGGGACACGUGGUAUCCUGUCUGAAUAUGGGGGGACCAUCCUCCAAGGCUAAAUACUCCUGACUGACCGAUAGUGAACCAGUACCGUGAGGGAAAGGCGAAAAGAACCCCGGCGAGGGGAGUGAAAAAGAACCUGAAACCGUGUACGUACAAGCAGUGGGAGCACAGGUUUACCUGUGUGACUGCGUACCUUUUGUAUAAUGGGUCAGCGACUUAUAUUCUGUAGCAAGGUUAACCGAAUAGGGGAGCCGGAGGGAAACCGAGUCUUAAUUGGGCGUUAAGUUGCAGGGUAUAGACCCGAAACCCGGUGAUCUAGCCAUGGGCAGGUUGAAGGUUGGGUAACACUAACUGGAGGACCGAACCGACUAAUGUUGAAAAAUUAGCGGAUGACCUGUGGCUGGGGGUGAAAGGCCAAUCAAACCGGGAGAUAGCUGGUUCUCCCCGAAAGCUAUUUAGGUAGCGCCUCGUGAAUUCAUCUCCGGGGGUAGAGCACUGUUUCGGCUAGGGGGCCAUCCCGGCUUACCAACCCGAUGCAAACUGCGAAUACCGGAGAAUGUUAUCACGGGAGACACACGGCGGGUGCUAACGUCCGUCGUGAAGAGGGAAACAACCCAGACCGCCAGCUAAGGUCCCAAAGUCAUGGUUAAGUGGGAAACGAUGUGGGAAGGCCCAGACAGCCAGGAUGUUGGCUUAGAAGCAGCCAUCAUUUAAAGAAAGCGUAAUAGCUCACUGGUCGAGUCGGCCUGCGCGGAAGAUGUAACGGGGCUAAACCAUGCACCGAAGCUGCGGCAGCGAACGUAUCACUUAAAGCGAUUCAGCGGGUUACGAUUGACGGAGCGAAGCGACGUCAAAGCGUAUACAAAGUCGAGUCGGUUUAAGGAUACGUUCGUUGGGUAGG
This 1283-nucleotide ribosomal RNA is filed under the name Salmonella enterica subsp. enterica serovar Bovismorbificans. Its description in RNAcentral is "partial 23S ribosomal RNA". It matches the Rfam family "Bacterial large subunit ribosomal RNA", at positions 1 to 1232 of the family's 2925-position model. The record is from RNAcentral. Lineage: Bacteria; Pseudomonadati; Pseudomonadota; Gammaproteobacteria; Enterobacterales; Enterobacteriaceae.